AUUGAACGCUGGCGGCAUGCCUUACACAUGCAAGUCGAACGGUAACAGGUCUUCGGAUGCUGACGAGUGGCGAACGGGUGAGUAAUACAUCGGAACGUGCCUAGUAGUGGGGGAUAACUACUCGAAAGAGUGGCUAAUACCGCAUGAGAUCUACGGAUGAAAGCAGGGGAUCGCAAGACCUUGUGCUACUAGAGCGGCCGAUGGCAGAUUAGGUAGUUGGUGGGAUAAAAGCUUACCAAGCCGACGAUCUGUAGCUGGUCUGAGAGGACGAUCAGCCACACUGGGACUGAGACACGGCCCAGACUCCUACGGGAGGAAGCAGUGGGGAAUUUUGGACAAUGGGCGCAAGCCUGAUCCAGCAAUGCCGCGUGCAGGAUGAAGGCCUUCGGGUUGUAAACUGCUUUUGUACGGAACGAAAAGCCCUGGGUUAAUACCCUGGUGUUAUGACGGUACCGUAAGAACAAGCACCUGCUAACUACGUGCCAGCAGCCGCGGUAA
This 498-nucleotide ribosomal RNA is filed under the name uncultured bacterium. Its description in RNAcentral is "partial 16S ribosomal RNA". It matches the Rfam family "Bacterial small subunit ribosomal RNA", at positions 30 to 523 of the family's 1533-position model. The record is from RNAcentral.